AUUCUAGACCAAUGUGUAACAAACAAGGCUUACAAAUGAAAGGGACAUGUAUAGUGUAUACAUUAUACAUCAAUAACAUAAUACAUACUUGCGUAUAUAAUUUCAAUACACAAGCUAACAAGUAGUCAUGCAUAUAUAUGAGAAACACUCCAACGCAUAAGCUUACAAGCCUGUCAUGUAAAUACCCAUCUUGUGUCUCUUUUUUGUGAAACCUACUUUGUUGUUUUCUUUUGUAACUGGGAUAUAUUUUUCGUUAAAAAAAAACGCUGGGAUAUAUAUAUAUAUAUAUUGUAUUAUGGGGAAAUUUUACUUAUACACUUUGUUUGAUACCACAAUUCAAUUUUACCAUCAAUCAAAGGACAUUUUCACAAAUACCACUUUCAUUAAUGACCAAAAGACAAUACUACCAUUAUCUUAUCUUCUCCUCAAUCAUCGAUUCUUCUCUCUUCUCUCGGAGUCACCGAGAUCCGCCGUCUCUUUGUCUCACGCAGCGGCGACGAAAGAGAUUGCAGAGAAUCUCAAUUCCAAACCUCUAAAAUAUCGACUCAUUUACGAGAUUCAAUACCAAGUUAAACUUAACAGCUCAAAGAAGUGAUUAUCAAUCAAAACCGAAGCUUCCAUGAGCGAUAUGAUCCUCAUCGAAUCCAGAAACUUUGGUUCUUAAAGCUAUUGAAGGCUGUUACCACUGUUCCCCUUCCGCCAUAGCCAUCGAUGGAAGAAGACUAGAAGAGUAUUCAUUUUGUUACUAGAAGCUUUGAUUGAGAUCAGCCCCAAUCUCACAAACAAUUUUGAUGGAUAAUUCAAAAGUAAUUGCAGCUGUUUAUGGCCCAAGAGAGAUUCAAUACAAAAGCCAACAAAAGAAUGGUCAUAUAUUGAACCGGCUUGUUACGCUCAUCACAUAUGUCAAACCUGAAUAGCUACGAGAUGUUAUGUCAGGAGGAUGGUUCUUUGUGCUUCAAAUGAAGACCACUUAGUGGUGGAACCAUUGCCACCACCUGCUGGAGCUAAACCAGGAGAGCGUGUUUCAUUUUCAGGGUAUAUAAUAUAGUGUAAAUUGGCUUAACACCAAACCUCUUUUGAUUGCUUUGGGUACAUACUUUGUAACAUCACUUACUUAAGAACCCUUAUGUCUUAAUAUUUAUAUAGAGUCGAAGGAAAGCCAGAAGAACCCUUAC
This is a long non-coding RNA of Brassica napus (rape), 1175 nucleotides long. RefSeq lists it as uncharacterized. The record is from RefSeq and is a predicted model, not a curated record. The transcript is spliced from 5 exons. NCBI's taxonomy places the organism in Eukaryota, Viridiplantae, Streptophyta, Magnoliopsida, Brassicales, Brassicaceae.